GAUGAACGCUGGCGGCGUGCCUAAUACAUGCCAGUCGAGCGAACGGACGAGAAGCUUGCUUCUCUGAUGUUAGCGGCGGACGGGUGAGUAACACGUGGAUAACCUACCUAUAAGACUGGGAUAACUUCGGGAAACCGGAGCUAAUACCGGAUAAUAUUUUGAACCGCAUGGUUCAAAAGUGAAAGACGGUCUUGCUGUCACUUAUAGAUGGAUCCGCGCUGCAUUAGCUAGUUGGUAAGGUAACGGCUUACCAAGGCAACGAUGCAUAGCCGACCUGAGAGGGUGAUCGGCCACACUGGAACUGAGACACGGUCCAGACUCCUACGGGAGGCAGCAGUAGGGAAUCUUCCGCAAUGGGCGAAAGCCUGACGGAGCAACGCCGCGUGAGUGAUGAAGGUCUUCGUAUCGUAAAACUCUGUUAUUAGGGAAGAACAUAUGUGUAAGUAACUGUGCACAUCUUGACGGUACCUAAUCAGAAAGCCACGGCUAACUACGUG
This 497-nucleotide ribosomal RNA is filed under the name uncultured bacterium. RNAcentral describes it as "partial 16S ribosomal RNA". It matches the Rfam family "Bacterial small subunit ribosomal RNA", at positions 28 to 507 of the family's 1533-position model. The record is from RNAcentral.